UACGAAGGGGGCUAGCGUUGCUCGGAAUCACUGGGCGUAAAGGGCGCGUAGGCGGCGUCGGUAGUCCGUGGUGAAAGCUCGUGGCUCAACUGCGAGUCGGCCAUGGAUACUCCGAUGCUUGAGCACUGUAGAGGCAGGUGGAAUUCCGGGUGUAGCGGUGGAAUGCGUAGAGAUCCGGAAGAACACCAGUGGCGAAGGCGGCUCACUGGCCCGAUACUGACGCUGAGGCACGAAAGCGUGGGGAGCAAACAGG
Molecule: ribosomal RNA, 253 nt
Filed under: uncultured bacterium
Lineage: Bacteria
Description: partial 16S ribosomal RNA
Rfam family: Bacterial small subunit ribosomal RNA
Source: RNAcentral